GGAAGGUGCAAGCGUUAUCCGGAUUCACUGGGUUUAAAGGGAGCGCAGGCGGAUUAGUAAGUCAGUGGUGAAAGCCUUAAGCUUAACUUGGGAACUGCCAUUGAUACUAUUAGUCUUGAAUGUUGUUGAGGUUUGCGGAAUGGGUCAUGUAGCGGUGAAAUGCAUAGAUAUGACCCGGAACACCUAUUGCGAAGGCAGCAGGCUAAACAAAUAUUGACGCUGAGGCUCGAAAGCGUGGGGAUCAAACAGGAUUAGAUACCCUGGUAGUCCACGCCCUAAACUAUGAUUACUCGACAUAUGCGAUACACUGUAUGUGUCUGAGCGAAAGCAUUAAGUAAUCCACCUGGGAAGUACGACCGCAAGGKUG
Molecule: ribosomal RNA, 367 nt
Filed under: uncultured bacterium
Lineage: Bacteria
Description: bacterial SSU rRNA
Rfam family: Bacterial small subunit ribosomal RNA
Source: RNAcentral